RNAcentral lists this ribosomal RNA (479 nucleotides) under uncultured bacterium. Its description in RNAcentral is "partial 16S ribosomal RNA". It matches the Rfam family "Bacterial small subunit ribosomal RNA", at positions 28 to 523 of the family's 1533-position model. The record is from RNAcentral.
GACGAACGCUGGCGGCGUGCUUAACACAUGCAAGUCGAACGGUAAGGCCCUUCGGGGUACACGAGUGGCGAACGGGUGAGUAACACGUGGGUGAUCUGCCCUGCACUUCGGGAUAAGCCUGGGAAACUGGGUCUAAUACCGGAUAGGACCACUGCCUGCAUGGGUGGUGGUGGAAAGCUUUUGCGGUGUGGGAUGGGCCCGCGGCCUAUCAGCUUGUUGGUGGGGUGAUGGCCUACCAAGGCGACGACGGGUAGCCGGCCUGAGAGGGUGACCGGCCACACUGGGACUGAGAUACGGCCCAGACUCCGACGGGAGGCAGCAGUGGGGAAUAUUGCACAAUGGGCGCAAGCCUGAUGCAGCGACGCCGCGUGAGGGAUGACGGCCUUCGGGUUGUAAACCUCUUUCAGCACCGACGAAGCGCAAGUGACGGUAGGUGCAGAAGAAGGACCGGCCAACUACGUGCCAGCAGCCGCAGGUAA